Molecule: ribosomal RNA, 446 nt
Filed under: uncultured bacterium
Lineage: Bacteria
Description: bacterial SSU rRNA
Rfam family: Bacterial small subunit ribosomal RNA
Source: RNAcentral
GGCCAGACUCCUACGGGAGGCAGCAGUGGGGAAUAUUGCACAAUGGGGGAAACCCUGAUGCAGCGACGCCGCGUGAGUGAGGAAGUAUUUCGGUAUGUAAAGCUCUAUCAGCAGGGAAGAAAAUGACGGUACCUGACUAAGAAGCCCCGGCUAACUACGUGCCAGCAGCCGCGGUAAUACGUAGGGGGCAAGCGUUAUCCGGAUUUACUGGGUGUAAAGGGAGCGUAGACGGAAUUGCAAGUCUGAUGUGAAAAUCCGGGGCCCAACCCCGGAACUGCAUUGGAAACUGUAUUUCUAGAGUGUCGGAGAGGCAAGUGGAAUUCCUGGUGUAGCGGUGAAAUGCGUAGAUAUCAGGAGGAACACCGGCGGCGAAGGCGGCCUGCUGGACCGCGACUGACGUUGAGGCUCGAAAGCGUGGGGAGCGAACAGGAUUAGAUACCCGUGUA